RNAcentral lists this ribosomal RNA (466 nucleotides) under Aegla perobae. RNAcentral describes it as "partial 16S large subunit ribosomal RNA". It matches the Rfam family "Bacterial large subunit ribosomal RNA", at positions 1932 to 2601 of the family's 2925-position model. The record is from RNAcentral. Lineage: Eukaryota; Metazoa; Arthropoda; Malacostraca; Decapoda; Aeglidae.
CGCGGUAUUUUGACUGUGCGAAGGUAGCAUAAUCAUUUGUCUUUUAAUUGAGGACUUGUAUGAAUGGCUGAACGAGAAAAUAACUGUCUCUUUAGAAAAUCUUGAAUUUUACUUUUAAGUGAAAAGGCUUAAAUAAAUUUAAAGGACGAUAAGACCCUAUAAAUCUUUAUAUUAUUUUUCUUUAAUUUUUAAAUUAUACACUAAAGAAAUAAAAGAAAAAAAUAUUAUAUUGGGGAGAUAAAAAUAUAAUUUUUAACUGUUUUUAAUAUAAAACAAUGAUUUUUGAUUUAUUAAAAUUGAUCCUUUUUAAAGAUUUUAAGAUUAAGUUACUUUAGGGAUAACAGCGUAAUUUUUUUUGAGAGUUCUUAUCGAAAAAAAAGUUUGCGACCUCGAUGUUGAAUUAAAAAUAUCCUUAUAAGUGCAGAAGCUAUAAAGGAAAGUCUGUUCGACUUUUAAAUUUUUACAU